GACGAACGCUGGCGGCGUGCUUAACACAUGCAAGUCGAACGGACAGGCCCUGCUUUUGUGGGGUGCUCGAGUGGCGAACGGGUGAGUGACACGUGAGUAACCUGCCCUUAACUUUGGGAUAACUUCAGGGGACUGGGGCUCAUACAGCAGAGGAUCUCCUGCUGCAUGGUGUGCGUUGGAAAGUUUCGGCGGUUGGAGAUGGACUGGCGGCUUAUCAGCUUGUUGGUGGGGUAGUGGCUUACCAAGGCUGUGACGGGUAGCCGGCCUGAGAGGGUGACCGGCCACAAUGGGACUGAGAUACGGACCAGACUCGUACGGGAGGCAGCAGGGGGGAAUAUUACACAAUGGGCGGAAGCCAGAUGUAGCAACGCCGCGUGCGGGAUGACGGGCUUCGGGGUGUAAACCGAUGUGGACGGUGACGAAGCGGGAGUGACGGUAAUGGGUAAAGAAGCACCGGCUAACUACGUG
RNAcentral lists this ribosomal RNA (468 nucleotides) under uncultured bacterium. Its description in RNAcentral is "partial 16S ribosomal RNA". It matches the Rfam family "Bacterial small subunit ribosomal RNA", at positions 28 to 507 of the family's 1533-position model. The record is from RNAcentral.